This 363-nucleotide transfer-messenger RNA is filed under the name Desulfonauticus sp. It matches the Rfam family "transfer-messenger RNA". Rfam says of the family: Bacterial tmRNA, also known as 10Sa RNA or SsrA, is named for its dual tRNA and mRNA-like properties. Its role is to liberate the mRNA from a stalled ribosome. Lineage: Bacteria; Pseudomonadati; Thermodesulfobacteriota; Desulfovibrionia; Desulfovibrionales; Desulfonauticaceae. The record is from RNAcentral.
GGGGGCGAAAUGGCUUCGACGGGGAUGGUUGAGGUCAAGGUUGCAGGCCGAGGUGCUGCGAGGUCCUCGUAAAACACGCAGCAAAGCAAUAAAUGCCAACGAUAAUUACGAAUACGCUCUGGCUGCUUAAUUAAAGCCAGCGUUUCUACCUUUCCUGGCCUGAGGGGAGGGUAGAAACGGCGGUCAAAUCAGGCUAGCUAACAAUCUUUGCCUACGGGAUUGUUAGUGAAAUAGGAGUAGGCUGGUCUUUGGGCGCCGGAUCAGGGGCUAACCCAAAGACGAGAUGUUAAACCUGAUCUAAGCCUGUAGAUGCCUUGUUCCGAACGUUCCCGGACGUGGGUUCAACUCCCACCGCCUCCACCA